This 969-nucleotide ribosomal RNA is filed under the name Triticum aestivum (bread wheat). RNAcentral's name for it is "partial small subunit ribosomal RNA". The record is from RNAcentral. Lineage: Eukaryota; Viridiplantae; Streptophyta; Magnoliopsida; Poales; Poaceae.
AUGCCAGUUGGUGUCAAAGGGGUGACAGACAAUAGUAGCGAGACAUCCUCAGCAUUAAUACACUUCAAGAGGAAGAAGGCACAUAAGACUGUUGUAGAAGGUCCUCGCCGCAUGACGCGGAGCCAGAAGGGUUCAGAUCAUGAAGAACUUGGGUCAAGCAAUGGGGGGUCUUACAAUCCCCUAUCAGAUAGCACUCCUUGUCCUUCUGAGAAUGAGAUAGAACUUCACCAUGGUGCAGAGCAUACAGAACAAGUCCUAGCUGCGAAUGAAACUCGUCCCGUUGAGGAGCAAUUAGCCAACCUUACAGCAGCGCUUUGGCAAAAGGAAGACAAGCUAGCAGCCCUUCGAAUUCAUAUGAGCAAUAACCAGAGCAAAGGAAAUGAAGGGGAUGGGGGCGCAAGUGCUAGCAGCCAACAUGGAGGAGCAUGGCUUAACCUUGAGGCGAUCCAAAGAAUGAUCGCUGAAGGGGUAAAGUCGCAAUUAAUGCAAACUCAGUACUCGAUGUGUCCAGGGUAUGUUAAGCCGUACCCACCUGAUGUGGACCUAGUUCCUUUCCCAACAAAUUAUAGGCAGCUGCAGUUUAGUAAGUUCAACGGGAGUGGAUCUCCCCAUGAGCACAUAGCACACUUUCUUGCUGCUUGUCAGGAUACAGCUAACAACGGAGCACUUCUCCUUAGGCAGUUUGUACAUACAUUGUCUGGGCCUGCCUUCACUUGGUACAGCAAGUUGCCUCCAAGCUCUAUAAAAACGUGGGAACAAAUGCAAAACUCAUUCCUCAAGAGGUUUUAUAGCACACAGAGGACGGUGGGCAUAACUGAGUUGACCCAAACUGAACAAGGGUUCAACGAGAGGGCGGCUGAUUUCAUAAAUAGAUGGAGAAACCUAAGUCUUCAUUGCCCACAGCCAAUCACUAAGCCAGAAGCAGUGCGCAUGUGCAUGAACAAUCUCCGCUCAGAAGUGGCUGUCUAG